Molecule: ribosomal RNA, 245 nt
Filed under: uncultured bacterium
Lineage: Bacteria
Description: partial 16S ribosomal RNA
Rfam family: Bacterial small subunit ribosomal RNA
Source: RNAcentral
UUUCUAGUGGCGGACGGGUGAGUAACGCGUGGGUAACCUGCCCUAUACAGGGGGAUAACAACCAGAAAUGGUUGCUAAUACCGCAUAAGCGCACAGGACCGCAUGGUCUGGUGUGAAAAACUCCGGUGGUAUAGGAUGGACCCGCGUUGGAUUAGCCAGUUGGCAGGGUAACGGCUUACCAAGGCGACGAUCAGUAGCCGACCUGAGAGGGUGACCGGCCACAUUGGGACUGAGACACGGCCCAA